Podarcis lilfordi (Lilford's wall lizard) is the source of this 5161-nucleotide non-coding RNA. The record is from the annotation of a GenBank genome assembly. NCBI's taxonomy places the organism in Eukaryota, Metazoa, Chordata, Lepidosauria, Squamata, Lacertidae.
AGACAUGCCACUGAAUUGCUUUUGCCUCUCAACCUUGGAGGCUUCAUCUAAAAAAUGCCAUAAGGUUAUACUGUUUCACAUUCAGCUCUUUGGAGACAUUAUUAGUCACAGAGUUAACAAUCUUGUAGGCAUUAUGUUUGGAGAGGAGUGCAUUACUAGGCUCAACAUUAACCUGUCCAUCAAAGAAGCUUUUGCUGGGCAAAGAAUUAGCUGCUAUGCAAACUUGAACACAUUCAUUUCAGUUUGACAAUGAUGGGUCUACGUGUAGUAGAGUUCUUUUUCGUCUAACUUUCCCUGCCUCCCUCCACCCCCCCAAAAAAAACUUUUAAAAAGAAUUGGAUCUCUCUCUGACUCUAUUUUUAAGUUGUUCAUUUCUCACAGCUGAAAUGACCAGGGCUAGGAAUGUUAUUCUUUGAAUGAAUAUAUAUGGAAUGAAUACAGAUGAUGCUUUGCCAUAUAGACACCAUGCCCUACAGAGAUGAAAGUCUAUAGAACAGGGAUGGAAUACCUUUUGACCUCCAUAUGUUGUUAGACUCCAGUUCCCAUGUGCCCCACCCAGCAGUGCCCAAUAGUUAAGAAUGGUGGGCGUCUUAUAUGGUCCCCUGGAGGGUCUACAUAUUUCUCAUCCAUUUCCACAAAGUAAAACAGAACCUCGUCCUUUGCCUCCUCACAUGGCAUGCACAGUCACUCAACAUACCAAGCCAUUAUGCAGAAUAUGAUGUCUGUGCCUCACAUAUUAAUAUCUAGCUCCUCCCCCAUCUCUGUUUAGUUCAUCUCUGUAAAGGUAAAUGUAAAGGUACCCCUGACCAUUAAGUCCAUUCACGGACGACUCUGGGGUUGCACAUUCAUCUUGCUCUUUAGGCCAAGGCAGCCAGCGUUUGUCCACAGACAGCUUCUGGGUCAUGUGGCCAGCAUGACUAAGCCACUUCUGGCGAAACCAGAGCAGCGCAUGGAAAUCCCGUUUACCUUCCUGCUGGAGCAUUACCUAUUUCUCUGCUUGCACUUUGACAUGCUUUUGAACUGCUAGGUGGGCAGGAGCUGGGACCGAACACCAGUUGCACUCAAAUGUGUUGUAGCAUGCAGACUUAGAGACUGACUUACAAAUGAGGAAGUCCCUAGUUCAGUUUUUUCUCUGACAUGAAUUCACUAGGUGGCCUUAUGAAAACUUUUUUUCUCUCUGUAAGUUCCAACACUCCCACCACUACCAAUCUUUAAUAAGGGAUUAAGAAACUGUAUUUCUGGCAUCUUGUUCCGUGUUGUGGUAUGGUUGUUGAUGAAGUAGUCUGCAACCUGUAAAGACUUACAACAGUAUAAAUAGGUUCCUUUUGAAGAUGCCUCAUGGCUCUUGGUUUGUAAAUUGCUUUGUAAAUUGUGACAAAUAGCAUAGUGUUUGUGUUGAGUGCUCAGUAUGUUUAGUUCUCUUCCACUUCCCAUUUUGUGCAGGUAAAUACCAGCUAUCUCCGACAGUCAACAUGCCGCAGGAUGACAUGGUCAUUAUAGAAGAUGAUAGAUUACCAGUACUACCUCCACAUCUCUCAGACCAAUCAUCUUCCAGUUCCCAUGAUGAUGUGGGCUUUGCAACAGUAGAUGGUGGAGCCUGGAGCAAACCAACAAUUAAUGAGUCAACAGAAUGGUAAGGCUCAUGGCCACACAAACCAUUACUUCUACUUAUCAACAGUUCAUGUGCUUUUCACACCUGCAUUUUUCAACACAGAGAGGAGCAGAAUUAUAGGCUUAUCAUUGAAAGAAGACUUCCCAGCCCUCUUUCUGAGUUGCUUGUUCCUAUCUAGGAAGCAGAGCAGAAGAGAAUUAUGAGAAGGUUUCACUUGGCCAAGGUUAAGUUACUGCUCAAUUGUAUCUGGGCUGCCAAAGUUGCUUGUGUAUCUUGAACCACAGCCCCCCUCCCUUACUUCAUAGCAAUAUACUUCUGAAAGUGAGGAGCAUUGUAAAAGCAGUUAGUGGCAUCCACAAGCUGAGAUCUACUUUGGAAGUCCUUCUCCAGGUAUCCUCUACCUUUGGGUGCUAAGAGGUGGUUAAGAGAGAGAGAGCUCAUUUUCUGUGAUAUCCUCAAAACUUCAAUUACUUUCAUUUUGCUACAUGGAGUUUUAGAUGGGCUGGUUUUUAUUAUUAUUAAGUAUUUCAUAGUUUACAAAAAUACAUGUGAUGUCUCUUUUUCAAGAUGUGUUUUCUACAGAUCAGUUUCAUUUGUUGUGAUACAUUAGUGUAGCAUGCAUUCCCCACCUCAAAAUAUCUGCAAAUCUGGGGACUAUGAUUAUUAAGUUGCACUGAUACACAAUGUGUAUAUAUCAGGGGCUGGGGGUAGGUGUUACUUUGGCUUUGGGUUGUUUACUGUCUUCUGCAGGAUAAAUAUUGCAUAAUUUUUGUGUAGUGCUAUCUGUACUAAUCCAAGAGAAUGACAUUAAUUUGUAAGCCUUGUAAUUAUGUUCAGCAAUAAGCAAAAUAAAAGACCUCUCUGUGGAACCCCCUGCUAGGGUGGUGGCAAUAAUUAACACAAGCAGGUUGAAGUAUGAGAAUUUUUCUGAGUCCCACACUCUCCUGGGUAUAGUAUAACUGUGUCAGCAAUAUCUUAAUAAGAAUUAGCACCAGCAAGUAUCUCUUUGUUUGGAUUUGCAUAAGUCAGCUAUUUAUUAUCUAUAUCUAUAUCAGUGUGGAUUAGUGUUAAGUGGCAUUUGUUUAUAUCCCGUCUAAAGAAACUGUUUAUUUGCUGUCUUAAAAGCAGCUUCUUUCUUUUUGUCUUUUGCUGAUGACUUUUGUUUUUACCUUCUGAAUGUUGAACCUGCCCAUUUGAAAGAGGCACAACUGCAAUUUCAAUCCUGCAAACACCCAUCAUUGCAUUCACAUGGGAAAUACAUUAAAAGCUAAAAAUUUGUGAUGGGGUUGGGGGGUCGGAUCACGAAAAGCAUGCAAAAUUGCAUGUAAUAGAUUGUAUUAGCAUGGAUUUUUCCACUUGAGUGUGGCAAGAAAACCUCAGCAGAAUGUAAACAAACACAUACAUCUUUGACAUUUAGGAAUGCAGAAUAUUUUCCUGCUCACAUGUUUCCCUGACACAGGAAGAAAGAGUGAAGCGCUAUUAGCUGUCAUUAAAUUUCUUAUGGAACCACCUUUAAUGCCUUUUCUCUCAGAGGCAGAGAUGCAAUUAUGAAAAGGGGCAGAUCAGUUUGGAGUCUUACUUGUGUUGAUUGCAUUAUAUUUGUUAAAAAAUAAACCCAGUGAAAUUAAAUAAACAGCAGUUGAGUGGAUUUUUGAAUUAAUUUCCUGCUGCUAAUGGACAAAGGAAGGCUUGUAAAACAAAGGUGUAUUCUGUGAGUUUGCUGCAAGGCACCAAGGGGUGAAGUUAAGAAUAUGGAUGAAGGGUUAUCCAAACAAGAAUGGCAGCUGUUCUGAAUCACAGCACAAAAUGUAAGCUUUUUCCAGCCUGACAAUAUCUCCCUAAUCCUUGAUGAAAAUGUUAUGAAAACAAAGGGACAAUGAGACAGGAUUAAUAAGUGGAAUUUUAAUAACAUUGAGGGUCACAAUACGGUUACAUUCUUUAAAGAGUCAACUGUCGUUCCAGAAGCUUUAGUUGUUAUAAUACGCUUUGCUGCUUGUUGGUUUUAUAAAUUACAAUAAUAAUAGACAGAAAGUGACUUUAGCAUCAAUUUGAAAUAUUAAGAACCACUAUUUGGCAAUUUUACUUAGCUGUACUCACUGACUUUUGUGCUUUUUUAGUUCCUGCAACAAACCUCUGUUCAAAUUGUUACCAUUUGAGGUGUGUUUUGCUUGAUAAAAUACACAACUUCUCAUCAGUUGUGUAAUACAUUUUCAUUGUAUCCUGGGCAUAAAAUUCAUUGUGUAACAUCUGUGAUAAACAAAGCACUGAAUAUUUUAUUAGUUUUAGAAAUAGAUAACUGAAUAAUUAUUUAUAAAGUCCAGAUUACUUUGCAUAGUGGAAGCAGUUUCACUACAGUUUCACUGUACCGCUGUGUAAUACAGUGGUUGCCAGCCUUUUGGGACUGAUGGCACAUUGGAAAAUUUGAGAAGGUGCUGCUUUCAAAUGUGUAGCCUAACUCAAAAAAGCUGCCACCAUGAGGGUGCCCUAACACAAAAUGGUCUCUGCCUCACCUCCAAGAGAGCAGAAAAAAGAACACAAUAUGGUUCAAAUAUGGAAAAAUCCAUUGGUUUUGCUUGUUAACAUUUUUUAAAAAAACAUUUUAUUUUGCAGAUACUGUUAAAUCUUGGUUGUUACAUUGUUUUUUGCUGGUGUGUUGCUGUAGAUUAUAGCUAGAAAAUAAAAGAUGAUUGAAUCCAGGAGUAAUUUUUAAUUACACAUGCAUAGUCACAAAUAAAAGACCUGGGAGGCUGCCAAGUUUGUUUUUUAACUAUCUCAGCAGCAGAUAUGAUUGAAUAAUUAAAACCGCCCCAACACAACCUUUGUCCAGUCACUCUCUCUAAGCCCAGCCUGUUGAACUCAUCACAUACGAUGGCUGUGAGGUUUUUAAAAAAGCAAUGGCACAGACCCCUAUAAGCCACCCUGAGCAAUAUGGAGGAAGGGUGGGAUGGGAGUUUGAUAAUAAGCAAACCAAUCAUAUUUAUAUCCCACUUUUUCCUCUAACGACCAUACAUGGGUUUUUUUUACAAAACCAUUUUUAUUUUGCUGUGGAUAGACUUGUCCAAGGCUCCUCCAGCAAACCAAAUACUGUAGGUCUCUUGAUACCAAUUAUUCCUUCAUUUGUUCCACUUCCUCUUUGGCCACAGUUCCGUGAAGAGUGCAAUGGAUGCUGCAUUUGAUUAUUGUGUUUCACCUACCUAUUUAGAAGGGAAGAAAUUUAAUUUUAAACCUAUAUCUGAUUAAUACAUACAGCUUAGGCAAGAUGGCUACAUGAGCGUGAUCUCGUCCUUGUGCUGCAUACUAAUGUAGAGUAAUGAUUUAGGAGAGAAGAACACAAAGUUACAUACAUACAUCAUUUUAUUUGUAUGUCAUCUUUCCAUAGUUAAAGCCAUGCUAAAGGUGGCUGAUAACAUGAAAAAAAUACAUAAUUACAAAUAUAACAACAGUAUCCAUCAUCAAUAAAUAAAACACAACCAAAAUGCAGUACAGUAAUCACAAUAAGAUCUGAAAAUAUCAAAAAUUUAUAUCAAUAACAGCAACAACUCCCACCCC